This 495-nucleotide ribosomal RNA is filed under the name uncultured bacterium. RNAcentral describes it as "bacterial SSU rRNA". It matches the Rfam family "Bacterial small subunit ribosomal RNA", at positions 28 to 505 of the family's 1533-position model. The record is from RNAcentral.
GACGAACGCUGGCGGCGUGCCUAAUACAUGCAAGUAGAACGCUGAAGGAGGAGCUUGCUCUUUCCGGAUGAGUUGCGAACGGGUGAGUAACGCGUAGGUAACCUGCCUGGUAGCGGGGGAUAACUAUUGGAAACGAUAGCUAAUACCGCAUAAUAGUAGAUAUCGCAUGAUAACUGCUUAAAAGGUGCAAUUGCAUCACUACCAGAUGGACCUGCGUUGUAUUAGCUAGUUGGUGAGGUAACGGCUCACCAAGGCCACGAUACAUAGCCGACCUGAGAGGGUGAUCGGCCACACUGGGACUGAGACACGGCCCAGACUCCUACGGGAGGCAGCAGUAGGGAAUCUUCGGCAAAUGGACGGAAGUCUGACCGAGCAACGCCGCGUGAGUGAAGAAGGUUUUCGGAUCGUAAAGCUCUGUUGUAAGAGAAGAACGAGUGUGAGAGUGGAAAGUUCACACUGUGACGGUAUCUUACCAGAAAGGGACGGCUAACUACG